UACAGAGGGUGCGAGCGUUAAUCGGAAUUACUGGGCGUAAAGGGUGCGUAGGCGGACUUGUAAGUUAGAUGUGAAAUCCCCGGGCUUAACCUGGGAGGGUCAUUUAAUACUGCGAGUCUAGAGACUAGUAGAGGGGAGUGGAAUUUCCGGUGUAGCGGUGAAAUGCGUAGAUAUCGGAAGGAACACCAGUGGCGAAGGCGACUCUCUGGGCUAGUUCUGACGCUGAGGCACGAAAGCGUGGGGAGCAAACAGG
This 253-nucleotide ribosomal RNA is filed under the name uncultured bacterium. RNAcentral describes it as "partial 16S ribosomal RNA". It matches the Rfam family "Bacterial small subunit ribosomal RNA", at positions 524 to 776 of the family's 1533-position model. The record is from RNAcentral.